Molecule: ribosomal RNA, 497 nt
Filed under: uncultured bacterium
Lineage: Bacteria
Description: partial 16S ribosomal RNA
Rfam family: Bacterial small subunit ribosomal RNA
Source: RNAcentral
GAUGAACGCUGGCGGCGUGCCUAAUACAUGCAAGUCGAGCGAACAGACGAGGAGCUUGCUCCUCUGACGUUAGCGGCGGACGGGUGAGUAACACGUGGAUAACCUACCUAUAAGACUGGGAUAACUUCGGGAAACCGGAGCUAAUACCGGAUAAUAUAUUGAACCGCAUGGUUCAAUAGUGAAAGACGGUUUUGCUGUCACUUAUAGAUGGAUCCGCGCCGCAUUAGCUAGUUGGUAAGGUAACGGCUUACCAAGGCGACGAUGCGUAGCCGACCUGAGAGGGUGAUCGGCCACACUGGAGCUGGGACACGGUCCAGGCUCCUACGGGAGGCAGCAGUAGGGAAUCUUCCGCAAUGGGCGAAAGCCUGACGGAGCAACGCCGCGUGAGUGAUGAAGGUCUUCGGAUCGUAAAACUCUGUUAUUAGGGAAGAACAAAUGUGUAAGUAACUAUGCACGUCUUGACGGUACCUAAUCAGAAAGCCACGGCUAACUACGUG